Molecule: long non-coding RNA, 396 nt
Filed under: Elaeis guineensis (African oil palm)
Lineage: Eukaryota; Viridiplantae; Streptophyta; Magnoliopsida; Arecales; Arecaceae
Description: long non-coding RNA (EGUI_LNC073940)
Source: RNAcentral
UCCACUCUCCAAGUUAGAUCCUUGUUGCCUUAUCUCAGGCUCUCUCAGUCUCUCUCUACUCUCCAGGUUCGACCGCUCGAGGUGCCGCCACUUCCAAGUCAAAUCUGACCGCAGCUCCUUCCCGGGCUCUCUCAAUCUCUCCACUCUCCAAAUUAGAUCCGCACCACCUCCGACAUCUCCUCAGGUUCUCUCGAUCUCUUUCCACUCUCCAGGCUCAACCGCUCGAGGCUCUCCCCCUUUCGGACUCUCUGCCUCUCUUUUUUUCACUCUUCACUCUUCAGUUAUUUGAGAUUUAAGGUCCAUGGACUGGCCUGGCCUAGUCCAUCAAAUUUUAGGCCCUUAUGGACCGGGUCGGAUUGGAUCGGGCCAACCUAUUUUGACAGUACUAAUCCUAGU